AAGUCGUAACAAGGUUUCCGUAGGUGAACCUGCGGAAGGAUCAUUACCGUAACUUGGUUUUUUCUUCUUUUUAAAACAAAGAAGAAAAAACUAAACCAAAUUACAGGUUGACAAUGUGCACUGACUGAAGUUUUGAAACAACAAAAGAGCGUUGCUCUUCUUUUCUUUCUUUCUCUCUCUCUCUCUCUCCGAAAGGAAGAGAGAAGAAAAAGAAAAGAGAGAAGGGCACGUGUGUUUCUUUAUCAAAUGAGAACACUAACCAACAUGUGUGAUGACGCGCUUUUUUUAAAUCUUUACAACUAUACAAUACAACCCUAUAAAUAUAUUGCGAGAAUGUGAGAAACAACUGGCAACGGUGGAUCUCUAGGCUCGUUA
RNAcentral lists this unclassified non-coding RNA (375 nucleotides) under fungal sp. RNAcentral describes it as "partial internal transcribed spacer region". The stretch from base 1 to 46 matches the Rfam family "Eukaryotic small subunit ribosomal RNA", at positions 1786 to 1831 of the family's 1831-position model. Lineage: Eukaryota; Fungi. The record is from RNAcentral.